UUGUGAGCAAUUCAUGAAGAAAACUUCCUAAUCCGGAAUAUGUAAUUCAUUUAUUUAUUAACUGAUAUUCUAAUGGACCAUGUAAUCAUUUCUCAGUGACUUCCUUAUCACGAAGAAUGGCACUUGAGUUGUGCAUAAAACGGUUGUAAAGAACAUAGCGCUUAUACUCAUUGUCAACAUUGAUUUCGAAGCUAUUGUUUGAAACUGAAUUAUAACGAUGAUGCGUUACCUGAUGUGCAUGUUAGUCGUAACGUUGCUGCUAAGUCAAGUGGCCGACGGGAAUGCAGCCAGGCUAUGUGGGAGGCGACGUUGUCCACCUGGUUUCCGGUGUGUUCGCUAUGGCAGCGUAGGCAGGUGUGAUGGUGGGAAACAGUUCAUGCACCCGGGAAAUACGGGAAAUGCGGACGGUUCUGGAAAUUAAUUAACGGUGUGCGUUUCAAACAAAUGGAGUUUCCAUCGGAUGACCCUUACAUCGGUUAUGAUAACUAUAAAACUUUGUCUGGACAUUUAAGAAAUAUGUUGUUAUUACGCAUAUGUUUAUUUUAGUUUUAGAUGUUGUGUGUAAACAGUUUUCAAUUGGAAGAAAUGUAGACAUUAAAGAGAAUGAGAGCUGAUUUAUUGUGUAGACUAUUGCCUUGACCUUUUUAUUAUAUAUAUAAAAAAUAACCGAUCAUAUUGUUACAUGCAUAUGUAAUAAAUGUUGGUGUAGCAAGAUAUUUAUAUCAGAAGAAAGUUAUUCUUCGUCA
This is a long non-coding RNA of Dreissena polymorpha, 746 nucleotides long. RefSeq lists it as uncharacterized. The record is from RefSeq and is a predicted model, not a curated record. The transcript has 2 exons. Lineage: Eukaryota; Metazoa; Mollusca; Bivalvia; Myida; Dreissenidae.